UAAAAUGCCAUGGAGUGCUGGCCUUUGUCC
Molecule: non-coding RNA, 30 nt
Filed under: Mus musculus (house mouse)
Lineage: Eukaryota; Metazoa; Chordata; Mammalia; Rodentia; Muridae
Source: RNAcentral